GCAUUUUUAACUUAAUUGGAUAGAGUACUAACCUUCUAAGUUAGUUGUUGUUGGUUCGAAUCCAACAAAAUGUA
This 74-nucleotide transfer RNA is filed under the name Phenylobacterium zucineum. Its description in RNAcentral is "tRNA-Arg". It matches the Rfam family "tRNA". Rfam says of the family: Transfer RNA (tRNA) molecules are approximately 80 nucleotides in length. Their secondary structure includes four short double-helical elements and three loops (D, anti-codon, and T loops). Lineage: Bacteria; Pseudomonadati; Pseudomonadota; Alphaproteobacteria; Caulobacterales; Caulobacteraceae. The record is from RNAcentral.